AGCAGCCGCGGUAAUUCCAGCUCCAAUAGCGUAUAUUAAAGUUGUUGCAGUUAAAAAGCUCGUAGUUGAAUUUCGGGAUCAAUAUGUCGGUCGUGCCUUCGGUACGUACUGGCAUCAUUGAUUUCUCCCUUCUGACGAACCAUGAUGUCAUUAAUUUGGUGUCAUGGGGAGUCAGGACUGUUACUUUGAAAAAAUUAGAGUGUUUAAAGCAGGCUCACGCUUGAAUACAUUAGCAUGGAAUAAUGAAAUAGGACGUUUGACCCUAUUUUGUUGGUUUCUAGGAUCAACGUAAUGAUUAAUAGGGAUAGUUGGGGGCAUUAGUAUUCAAUUGUCAGAGGUGAAAUUCUUGGAUUUAUUGAAGACUAACUACUGCGAAAGCAUUUGCCAAGGAUGUUUUCAUUAAUCAAGAACGAAAGUUAGGGGAUCGAAGACGAUCAGAUACCGUCGUAGUCUUAACCAUAAACUAUGCCGACUAGGGAUCGGAUGAUGUUAAUUUUUAAUGACUCAUUC
RNAcentral lists this ribosomal RNA (510 nucleotides) under uncultured Glomus. RNAcentral's name for it is "SSU rRNA". It matches the Rfam family "Eukaryotic small subunit ribosomal RNA", at positions 569 to 1081 of the family's 1831-position model. The record is from RNAcentral. Lineage: Eukaryota; Fungi; Glomeromycota; Glomeromycetes; Glomerales; Glomeraceae.